RNAcentral lists this ribosomal RNA (492 nucleotides) under uncultured bacterium. Its description in RNAcentral is "partial 16S ribosomal RNA". It matches the Rfam family "Bacterial small subunit ribosomal RNA", at positions 29 to 507 of the family's 1533-position model. The record is from RNAcentral.
AGUGAACGCUGGCGGUAGGCCUAAUACAUGCAAGUCGAACGGCAGCACAGUAAGAGCUUGCCCUUACGGGUGGCGAGUGGCGGACGGGUGAGGAAUACAUCGGCAUCUACUUUUUCGUGGGGGAUAACGUAGGGAAACUUACGCUAAUACCGCAUACGAUCUACGGGUGAAAGCAGGGGAUCUUCGGACCUUGCCCGAUUGAAUGAGCCGAUGUCGGAUUAGCUAGUUGGCGGGGUAAAGGCCCACCAAGGCAACGAUCCGUAGCUGGUCUGAGAGGAUGAUCGGCCACACUGGAACUGAGACACGGUCCAGACUCCUACGGGAGGCAGCAGUGGGGAAUAUUGGACAAUGGGCGCAAUCCUGAUCCAGCCAUACCGCGUGGGUGAAGAAGGCCUUCGGGUUGUAAAGCCCUUUUGUUGGGAAAGAAAAUCAGCAGGUUAAAACCCCGCUGUUCUGACGGUACCCAAAGAGUAAGCACCGGCUAACUUCGUG